This 532-nucleotide long non-coding RNA is filed under the name Elaeis guineensis (African oil palm). RNAcentral describes it as "long non-coding RNA (EGUI_LNC053181)". The record is from RNAcentral. Lineage: Eukaryota; Viridiplantae; Streptophyta; Magnoliopsida; Arecales; Arecaceae.
CCUCAACGUCAACUGCUGGUAAACCCCAUCCGGACUCCUAUGGGAGUCGGGCUUCACCUUUAACUUUGAUUGCAGGAAGACUCCGCCCGGAUUCCUACAGAGGCCGGACUCCGACCGCUGCCGAGCUUCAGCCGAUAGAUCUGCGCCCCUUGGCGGCCCUGCUCCACUUCCUACAAUGGAUCCCGCACUGCUCCAUCACCCCUGACAGGCCACAGUAAUGAUCGCAGCCCUGCUCCACUCUCUGCGGCGGACCCUACGCGACCCCAUUACUCUCUGUAUCAACGGCCAUGAUUCUGCUCCGCUCCCUGCGGCAGGUGCUGCGUGACUCCACUACUUCAUGGCAGGCCGCAAUAAUGGCCACGAUCCUGCUCCACUCCUCGCAACUGAUUCCACGUGGCGAGCUACGGCGAUAGCCACGAUUCUGCUCCACUACCCUUCGCAAUAAAGUCCCCCUGACUACGAGCGGCCCACUACCAGACGGUUACCAACGUCGCCAUCAAUCCGUUACCUCCUCCGCCUAUAAAAGGGGGAC